This 253-nucleotide ribosomal RNA is filed under the name uncultured bacterium. RNAcentral's name for it is "partial 16S ribosomal RNA". It matches the Rfam family "Bacterial small subunit ribosomal RNA", at positions 524 to 776 of the family's 1533-position model. The record is from RNAcentral.
UACGUAGGGUGCGAGCGUUGUCCGGAAUUAUUGGGCGUAAAGAGCUUGUAGGCGGUUUGUCGCGUCUGCUGUGAAAUCUCAGGGCUUAACCCUGAGCUUGCAGUGGGUACGGGCAGACUAGAGUGCGGUAGGGGAGACUGGAAUUCCUGGUGUAGCGGUGAAAUGCGCAGAUAUCAGGAGGAACACCGGUGGCGAAGGCGGGUCUCUGGGCCGUAACUGACGCUGAGGAGCGAAAGCAUGGGGAGCGAACAGG